This 215-nucleotide ribosomal RNA is filed under the name uncultured bacterium. Its description in RNAcentral is "partial 16S ribosomal RNA". It matches the Rfam family "Bacterial small subunit ribosomal RNA", at positions 120 to 334 of the family's 1533-position model. The record is from RNAcentral.
AGGAACCUGCCUCGGAGUGGGGAAUAACACAACGAAAGCUGUGCUAAUACCGCAUGAUACAGUUGGGUCGCAUGACUCUGACUGUCAAAGAUUUAUCGCUCUGAGAUGGCCUCGCGUCUGAUUAGCUGGUUGGCGGGGUAACGGCCCACCAAGGCGACGAUCAGUAGCCGGACUGAGAGGUUGACCGGCCACAUUGGGACUGAGACACGGCCCAG